AUACUCACCUAGCAGGGGAGACACCAUGAUGAGGCAGGUGGUUUCCCAGGGCAAGGCUCAUCCAUGACAUUUCAUAGGUGCUGACCCCAGCAAUUUCCCCAAAUUCAAGAAGUUCAGAUGCAUAGCUUGUGGUAGUGAGGACUGCAUUCACAUUCUCCUCA
Molecule: small nuclear RNA, 161 nt
Organism: Microtus ochrogaster (prairie vole)
Lineage: Eukaryota; Metazoa; Chordata; Mammalia; Rodentia; Cricetidae
Gene: U1
Rfam family: U1 spliceosomal RNA
About the family: U1 is a small nuclear RNA (snRNA) component of the spliceosome (involved in pre-mRNA splicing). Its 5' end forms complementary base pairs with the 5' splice junction, thus defining the 5' donor site of an intron.
Source: Ensembl